AGUCGAGCGAGCUUGCCUAGAUGAUUUUAGUGCUUGCACUAAAUGAAACUAGAUACAAGCGAGCGGCGGACGGGUGAGUAACACGUGGGUAACCUGCCCAAGAGACUGGGAUAACACCUGGAAACAGAUGCUAAUACCGGAUAACAACACUAGACGCAUGUCUAGAGUUUGAAAGAUGGUUCUGCUAUCACUCUUGGAUGGACCUGCGGUGUAUUAGCUAGUUGGUAAGGUAACGGCUUACCAAGGCAAUGAUGCAUAGCCGAGUUGAGAGACUGAUCGGCCACAUUGGGACUGAGACACGGCCCAAACUCCUACGGGAGGCAGCAGUAGGGAAUCUUCCACAAUGGACGAAAGUCUGAUGGAGCAACGCCGCGUGAGUGAAGAAGGGUUUCGGCUCGUAAAGCUCUGUUGGUAGUGAAGAAAGAUAGAGGUAGUAACUGGCCUUUAUUUGACGGUAAUUACUUAGAAAGUCACGGCUAACUACGUGCCAGCAGCCGCGGUAAUACGUAGGUGGCAAGCGUUGUCCGGAUUUAUUGGGCGUAAAGCGAGUGCAGGCGGUUCAAUAAGUCUGAUGUGAAAGCCUUCGGCUCAACCGGAGAAUUGCAUCAGAAACUGUUGAACUUGAGUGCAGAAGAGGAGAGUGGAACUCCAUGUGUAGCGGUGGAAUGCGUAGAUAUAUGGAAGAACACCAGUGGCGAAGGCGGCUCUCUGGUCUGCAACUGACGCUGAGGCUCGAAAGCAUGGGUAGCGAACAGGAUUAGAUACCCUGGUAGUCCAUGCCGUANACGAUGAGUGCUNAGU
Molecule: ribosomal RNA, 801 nt
Filed under: uncultured bacterium
Lineage: Bacteria
Description: bacterial SSU rRNA
Rfam family: Bacterial small subunit ribosomal RNA
Source: RNAcentral